AAAGACAAAAAAUUUUUCUAAUUCUUCUUAAUUAUCAUCUAUAUAUUGAUCUAUCAUUAAAUUUAAAUUAAAUAUGUUAAAUUACAUUCAAAUAAUUCAUUAACAACUAUAUAUAAAAAAUAAAUUAAAUGAAAUUCAAAGUGUAAUUUCCACUUAAAGAACAAGAUUCUUUAAUAAUUAAGUACCGCCAAAUAAACUAACUUUAACUAUUACAUUAAUUACUAUUUAAAUUUCAUUAAUUUUUCUAGGGUAUCUAAUCCUAUUAACUUAAAUUAAUUAAAAUUGAAAAUUCAUAAUCAAAUUAAAAUCUAAAAAUUUCACUUAAAUAUUUUAAUUAAAAUCAAACCUAAAUUUCAAGUACAAAGAAAUUUUAAUUUCACCAAUCAUGUAUAAC
This 394-nucleotide ribosomal RNA is filed under the name Dactylopius opuntiae. RNAcentral's name for it is "partial small subunit ribosomal RNA". Lineage: Eukaryota; Metazoa; Arthropoda; Insecta; Hemiptera; Dactylopiidae. The record is from RNAcentral.